This is a non-coding RNA of Pelobates cultripes (western spadefoot toad), 225 nucleotides long. The record is from the annotation of a GenBank genome assembly. NCBI's taxonomy places the organism in Eukaryota, Metazoa, Chordata, Amphibia, Anura, Pelobatidae.
GUAUGAAGUAUACCUGGUGAGACGUGACAUACUAAUAUGCUCCUAGCGUGUUUCGAUAUGUAAAAGGCCAUAAAAGAAGGUGGCUGGGAUAAUUGAUUUUAUGUUGAGUUUAUGUCUAGGUGAGGGUACAAUCACAAUGUAUCGAGUUGACGAUUAACAGCCACAAGUUUGGAGCAAGUAGGCAUUGUGACAGAAAGGCAUAUAUCAAACCAUAACACUGUAACU